CGGCGCGAAACUUGUAUAGCGCCAUCUGUGGCGUUAAGAAAAUUUGUGCAACAGAAAGCCUAGUCAAAGGCAUCAGACUUGAUGUUUGUUACCAUAGAAUUCAUGACUUUGCUCCGGAUGAACAAAUAGUUGGUAAGCUACGAUACAUGAUUACUGUAGAUAACUGAUUUACUGUCAAAUAUAUGAAACUAGUAGUUUCAUAUGAUUGUUCAUUUCCUGUGAAUUAUGUGCAAAUAGUGAGUUGAUUUUGGAUGAUUAACGCAACGUUAUGUACAGAAGCCUAUGUGUUGCUAUGGGGCUAUGAAACGCAUUGCACCCAGGUAUGUGUCGUGCAUAAAGGGGUUUAUUCAUAUAAACAAGCUCUAAGAUGGUGCAUGAUUUAAUUCGUAUGAUAUGUUAUAGUGACUUGCACAGCUUGUAAGAGUUAAAAGAGGUUAAUUACCAUUAUAAGGAGUGUGUAGAACCGUUUCUGAGGGAAUAUUAUUGAUGUCAGUUGUAUAGGGUCUGGAAUCACAUAGACUACUUUGUAAUUGCUUAAUUAAGGGGGCAUUAUGAAGCCGUAUCUGUAGAACACCGUGCAUUACAGGCACAUUCUAAGCACAGGAAUUUAUGAAGAUAUAUAUAUCAAGCAGAGACAUAAAUGAAUACACUGUAUAGCUGGAUAGUUACAUUCUUUUUGGAGUUUAUUUCGUAUAUAAACAUCACGUUUUACGUUUAUAUGUCAAGAGUAUUUACAAGAUUCACUGUAAUGUAGACAGGGUUACAUGCAUUUAAUUCUGUUUAUAUGAUGCAUAUGUUUAUAAUGCUUUGUUACUUUGUUGUUGUUUACAGUGAACCGCUAAUUGGAUUGCUGAUGAUGAUUCGCUAAUUGGAUUGCUGAAGAUGAUGAUUCGCUAAUUGGAUUGCUGAAUCGCUAAAUGAAGAUGACUUGUUACAAAAGAACCGAAAUAAAGAGAAAUAAGAACUCAACAAGUCGUUUGCAACGUUUCCUUUAUUGGCGCGUUCACACAAAAGUUCACAACUUCGUUCUAGAUGUCGGAGAAGGUCCAAGCAAGCAACCAGCAUGAGGGGUCGGAAGCUGGAGAGCCAAAGAACGGCGUUGACGGGGAUGCAACGGCAAGGAGUGAAACCAGAGCAUCCAGGGACGCUGAAGUGAAAUCGAUGGCCUUCAGGGCGAGCAUCUCCUCAAGCGUGAAGAUGAGAGAAGCCGAGGUGAAGCGGCAGCUUGCUAGGAUGAAGGUAGUACAGCUACAGAGAGAACAUAAACUAAAACGAGAACAGUUUGAACUCAACGAAAAACUUGAUAGACUCAAGAUUGAAAAUGAACUUGAGAACGCCGAAGCUGAAGCAAAAUUGUGGCAAGAACAUGAAACAAAGCCACAAGAACUGUUACAAAUUCCAGAAGGUCAAACUCAGCAAAGAACUGCUGAAUGGUGUACAGGGAAUGUUGUACCGGUAGAUAUUUGUAAUGAGAAUCAGGAUGUUACUUCCCAAAGAGUGUUGGGUGAACAUACAAUGCCAAAUGCAUAUACAUGUAAUAAGAAUGUAAAUUCUGUAGAACAUAAUUUGUCUGAGAUGAUGAUGGCAAUGCACCUGCCCAAACCUGAUAUGACUUGUUUUUCCGGUAACCCUAUUGAUUAUUGGAGCUUUUGUAAUUGUUUUGAUGUUAACAUUGAGCACAAGGUGCAAGAUAACAGGAUGCGACUAACCUAUUUAAUACAAUUUUGUACAGGCAAGGCAAGGGAGGCUAUAGAGAAUUGUAUUUUGUUACAUCCCGAUACUGGAUAUUCAAGAGCUCGCAGCAUCCUACAAGAUCAAUUCGGACAGAACUACAUAGUAGCGAAGGCACACGUCGACAGGGUGAUCUGCCGAGCCAACCUGCGCCCAAGUGACAGUCAGGCCUUAUGGGAUCUAGCCAGAGAUAUGAGGAGAUGUCAAAUGUCCACAUCACAGAUGGGUUAUUCAGCGGACAUGAGCUCAACGGACACACUGCUUAAGAUACAGAGCCUUCUGCCUGUUCACCUACAAGCCAGGUGGGCAUCUAAGGCUCACGUAGCCAUGGAGCAGUCUGUAAUUCCCAACUUUAGCCAUAUGACAGACUUUAUCGAACAGGAGGCUAAGAUAGCAAGCAACGUGUUCGGGAAGAAUAUCGGACAGUCAUUCAAGUCAAGUUCAAGUGCAAAGCGACAGAAAGGGAGCGUGGGAGGCAGAGCUUCAUCCUUCGCAAUGGAAGGAGGAACUGACAGGCCUAAUAACAGAAAGGAAGCAUGUCCAUGCUGCAAGAAGGAGCACCAGUUGGAAACCUGUUUCAAGCUAAGGGACUUGCCUCAGAAGGAGAGAUUUAUCUUCCUAAAGAAGAGUGGCAUCUGUUUUAAUUGCCUUAAGAAGGCACACCUAGCAAGGAACUGUCCCUCAGACUCGACCUGUAAGAAAGAAGGAUGCAGUCUAAAAUGGAAACACCACACAUGGUUGCACUUUGAAAGGAAGGAAGGCCCCAACCAGAAGAACAAUGAAGACAGCCCAAGUCAGCAGAACGGGGCCGGAGUGACAACUGGUGUGGAAUGCCAUACAAUUAGAGGAAGAGCUGACGUACGCUUAAGAGUACUUCCUGUGAAGGUGCGUCAUGGAGCCAAGGAGGUUACGACUUGGGCACUCCUUGAUGAAGGAAGUGAUACGUCCCUUUGUGAAAAGAGACUUGCAGAGGAACUGGGAAUUGUCGGAGUCAACAAGGAAUUCAGGUUGACUACAAUCAAUGGAGUGAACACUCCAAGGAAAGGAAUGGAAGUUAGCAUGACCAUUCAAGGCUUGCAAGAAGACACUAAGAUCGAUGUGGACAGGAUGUGGACUGUUGAUGUUCUACCCAUAUCGUCCAGAAGUAUACCAUGUCAGGAAGAUGUCGAUAAGUGGCCUCAUCUUCAGGGCAUUCAACUAGUGACAGCAGGCCAAGCAAAGGUUCAGCUCCUGAUAGGAGGCGACACCCCAGAAGCAUUCUGGGUAGAGGAAGAAAGGAGGGGUCAAAAGAAAGAUCCCUAUGCGAUCAGAACGCCUUUGGGAUGGACGUUGAUUGGACCUGCAUCAAGCUCAAGUCACAGAAACUCGUACGGAAUUCACCACAUCUCAGCUGAGGAGCUUCAUAAUCAAGUGAAGCGGUUUUGGGAGAUGGACUCUGGUCCAGGAGAUGAAAGAGUUGGUGAAUCAGUGGAAGAUGUGAAGGCUAGAACCAUCAUGGAGAAAACUGUGAAGUAUAUAGAUGGACACUAUGAGAUCGGUUUGCCAUGGCGUCAGUGUCCACCAGUGUUACCCAACAACAGACAGCAAGCAGGUUCGAGACUGCAGAGCCUGAAGAAGCGGCUACAGAAGAAUGGUUCCCUUCACCAGAAGUAUUCCUCUGUAAUGGGGGAAUAUAUAAGAAAAGGAUUUGCCUGCAAGGUUGGCGAAGGCAGAGAGCCAGUAGGGCGUGUGUGGUACCUGCCACACCACCCAGUAAUUAAUCCGCUGAAGCCAGAUAAGCUACGGAUAGUUUAUGACUGUGCUGCUGAGUUUCAAGGGACUUCAUUGAACAGCCAGUUACUCCAGGGUCCAGACUACACUAACAAGCUGGUUGGUGUACUGCUGCGUUUCCGGCAAGACAAGAUAGCCCUCGCUAGUGACAUCGAAGGAAUGUUUCACCAAGUGAGAGUUUCACCACAGGAUAUCGAUGCACUGAGGUUCCUAUGGUGGGAGGAAGGAGACUUGGAGAAGCCCCCUGUAGAGUAUCAGAUGUUGGUGCACUUGUUUGGGGCAACAUCGUCGCCAAGCUGUGCUGGCUUUGCGAUUAACAAGACAGUGCAAGACAACAAGAGAGACUUUGAUGAAGGAGUAGCUGAGACAGUGUUGGACAAUUUCUAUGUGGAUGACUGUCUCAAGUCAGUUUCCACGAGAGAAGAGGCCAAGAAGCUCAUCCCUCAGCUGAAUGAGCUACUAAGAAGAGGUGGAUUUAGACUAACCAAGUGGGUUAGUAACGACAAGGAAGUCCUGUCUACAGUAGAGACAUCAGAAAGGGCAGCCUCUGUCGUUGAUUUAGACUUAGACCACUUACCGAUUGAGAGGACGCUUGGGAUCAUGUGGAACAUGGAGACAGACACAUUUAGCUUCAAGGUUAAACCCAAGGAAGUUCCAGCAACAAGAAGAGGGAUCCUAUCUUCAAUGAGUUCCCUCUAUGACCCGUUAGGAUUCGUCGCUCCAUUCAUAGUAACUGCCAAGAUACUUCUUCAAGAUUUGUGUGCCCAAGGCAAAGGUUGGGAUGAAGAAGUGGGCCAGGAGGAAUUACAGCGAUGGGAGAAGUGGUUGGCUGAAAUUCCAGAAUUAACAUCCAUCAACAUUGAGCGCUGUUACAAGCCAACAGACUUUGAAGGUGUUACCAAUGAGCUACACAUAUUUUGUGAUGCUUCAGAGCGAGCCUACGCAGCAUGUGCGUACUUGAGGAUCGUGGGUAAGGAAGGACAGAUUCACACUGCCUUUGUGAUGGGAAAGACCAGACUCUGUCCAUUAAAGAAGAUGACCAUACCGCGACUAGAGUUGUCAGCAGCAGUAUUGGCUGUUCAACUGUACCAAAUCAUUCAGGAAGAACUCAGAAUACCAAUUGACCGUGUGACAUACUGGACAGAUUCAACAUCGGUCCUGCUCUACAUCAGCAAUGAGAGUCGCAGGUUUCGUACCUUUGUGGCCAACAGGGUUGCGAAGAUCCACAAGAUCAGUGACAAACGACAGUGGAGACACGUCGACACCCUCAGGAACUCAGCAGAUGAUGGUUCACGGGGUAUCCCUGCAAGAAGCCUGGAUAGAUGGCUUACAGGACCUGAGUUCUUGUUACAAGAAAAGGAAGUCUGGCCGGAAGAUCCAGCAAGUUUGAAGAAGGAAGAUGUACCAGAACUUGAUCUUCAGAAUGACAGUGAGGUGAAGAAAACUCAUGUCUACGCUACCAGCUCACAUGACGAGAUAGAUGAUCUAAUGACAAGGUACUCAUCAUGGGAUCGUCUGAAGCGAGGAAUUGCAUGGCUACUACGGUACAAGCAAUACUUGCGGUCCAAAGGAACGGGCAACUUGGCAGAAAGAGGAAGCUUGACAGUUCAGGAAUUGAACAAUGCAGAGGUCGAAGUGAUCAAACACGUACAGAGACACUCAUUUCCUGAUGAGUACGUGAAGGGGAUAGAGAAGAAAACCAGGAAACAAGGAAAUCCCCUUGAGAAGCUGAAUCCUGUCAUGGUUGACGGACUGCUACGAGUAGGAGGGAGAUUAAGCAAGGCUCCUAUUCUGAAUGACGAGAAACAUCCAAUGAUUCUUCCCAACGAUCACCACGUUACCAAGCUUCUAGUGGUUCAUCAUCAUCAGAAGGUUGGACACUGUGGUAUGGGUUCGACAUGGACCUCUCUCAGAGAAAGAUUUUGGAUCAACAAGGGAGGUGCUACAGUCCGUCACACCAUAGGUAACUGCUUCAAAUGCAGGAAGCGUAAUGCUUCAAGAGGCCAGCAAUUCAUGGCUGAUUUGCCGGAAGAGAGAGUUACUCCGGGAGAACCACCUUUUACGAAUACAGGGCUUGAUUACUUUGGCCCAUUCCCGACGAAGCAUGGUCGCAGUACACAGAAGAGGUAUGGAUGUAUCUUUACAUGUUUAUCUACCAGGGCAGUGCAUCUUGAGAUGGCUUAUAGCUUGGAGACUGACUCAUUCAUACAAACACUGCGUCGCUUCAUCAACCGUAGAGGUCAACCCAAGGCUAUAUUCAGUGACAAUGGCACCAAUUUCAAGGGGGGUCAGAAGGAGCUAAAGGAUGCUCUUGCAGGGCUGAAUUCCGAGAGAGUGAACCGAUACCUCACACAGAAGGGCAUUGCAUGGCACUUCAACCCGCCAGGAGCAAGCCACAUGGGAGGUGUAUGGGAGAGGAUCAUACGGUCAGUGAGGAAAAUCUUGACCAGUCUCCCACAGCAGACGCUUACAGACGAAGCGCUACUUACCCUCUUCACAGAAGUAGAGGCAAUAUUGAAUGGAAGGCCUCUUACUCACCUGAGCAUGGACUCCAGAGAUGAUGAGCCAUUGACCCCGAAUCAUUUGUUGUUGCUUCGUAAGAACCCAAGUCUGCCACCAGGGAUCUUUGUGAAAGAAGACUGCCAUCUACGGAGACACUGGCGCCAAGUCCAGUACCUAGCAGGGCAGUUUUGGACCCGAUGGGUCAAGGAAUACUUACCCCUGUUGCAGCAACGUCAGAAAUGGACUAGACCAAACAGAAACUUUGAAGUCGACGAUCUGGUUCUAGUGGUCAACGAAAGUACCCCUCGUGGACAGUGGCCCAUCGGAAGAGUGUUAACGACCUAUCCAGACAAGCGUGGCCUUGUAAGACAAGUAGAGGUUCGAGUAGGGCCUCGAUAUUACAAGAGGCCAAUUUCAAAGCUGUGCCUCUUGGAAGCCAAUGUAGAGGCUUCUUCCUAAACACAACGAAGGUUGUUAUAUAUGAUGUGAAACAUUUAUAUGUUAUUGUUCAAAGAAUUUCUAACAUUACUAACUUGCAUGUAUGUCACAGUUUGAAUUGUUUAUGCAAACAGUUUUGACAAGAUUUGUGAAAGUUAAAUGGAUGUUUGUUUUUGCUUUCAGAUAUUUUACAGGUAUCGUCAUUGCGUUAAUGCAUACCAAAUGUUACUGUAAUUCAUUCAUAGUUUAAUGCAUGCCGCUUUAUGGUAAUGUAGAAAAUGAUUUAAGGAUAGGUAAAUCAUUUGGGGCCGGAAUGUAGCGGCGCGAAACUUGUAUAGCGCCAUCUGUGGCGUUAAGAAAAUUUGUGCAACAGAAAGCCUAGUCAAAGGCAUCAGACUUGAUGUUUGUUACCAUAGAAUUCAUGACUUUGCUCCGGAUGAACAAAUAGUUGUGAACCGCUAAUUGGAUUGCUGAUGAUGAUUCGCUAAUUGGAUUGCUGAAGAUGAUGAUUCGCUAAUUGGAUUGCUGAAUCGCUAAAUGAAGAUGACUUGUUACAAAAGAACCGAAAUAAAGAGAAAUAAGAACUCAA
Molecule: RNA transcript, 7030 nt
Organism: Strongylocentrotus purpuratus (purple sea urchin)
Lineage: Eukaryota; Metazoa; Echinodermata; Echinoidea; Camarodonta; Strongylocentrotidae
Exons: 2
Source: RefSeq, a predicted model, not a curated record